AGAGUUUGAUCCUGGCUGAGAACGAACGCUGGCGGCGUGCUUAACACAUGCCAGUCGAACGCGAAAGGGGACUUCGGUCCCCCGGUAGAGUGGCGCACGGGUGAGUAACGCGUAGAUAAUCUACCCCUAUAUUUGGGAUAACAAUUCGAAAGGAUUGCUAAUACCGGAUACACUUAUUUGUACGCAAGUACGAGUGAGGAAAGGUGACCUCUUCUUGAAAGUUACUGUAUAGGGAUGAGUCUGCGUACCAUUAGCUAGUAGGUAGGGUAAAAGCCUACCUAGGCUACGAUGGUUAGCGGGUCUGAGAGGAUGAUCCGCCACACUGGAACUGGAACACGGACCAGACUCCUACGGGAGGCAGCAGUGAGGAAUAUUGCGCAAUGGGGGAAACCCUGACGCAGCGACGCCGCGUGGGUGAUGAAGGCCUUCGGGUUGUAAAGCCCUGUCAGGUGGGAAGAAGUGUACCAUGGCUAAUAUCCAUGGUAUUUGACGGUACCACCAAAGGAAGCACCGGCUAACUCCGUGCCAGCAGCCGCGGUAAUACGGAGGGUGCAAGCGUUGUUCGGAUUUACUGGGCGUAAAGGGCGCGUAGGCGGUUUUUUAAGUCGGAUGUGCAAUCCCCGAGCUCAACUUGGGAACUGCAUCCGAGACUGGAAGGCUAGAGUACUGGAGAGGUUGGUGGAAUUCCACGUGUAGCGGUGAAAUGCGUAGAGAUGUGGAGGAACACCAGUGGCGAAGGCGGCCAACUGGACAGUAACUGACGCUGAGGCGCGAAAGUGUGGGUAGCAAACAGGAUUAGAUACCCUGGUAGUCC
RNAcentral lists this ribosomal RNA (814 nucleotides) under uncultured bacterium. RNAcentral describes it as "bacterial SSU rRNA". It matches the Rfam family "Bacterial small subunit ribosomal RNA", at positions 8 to 796 of the family's 1533-position model. The record is from RNAcentral.